This 403-nucleotide ribosomal RNA is filed under the name uncultured bacterium. RNAcentral's name for it is "partial 16S ribosomal RNA". It matches the Rfam family "Bacterial small subunit ribosomal RNA", at positions 28 to 526 of the family's 1533-position model. The record is from RNAcentral.
GACGCACGCUGGCGGCGUGCCUAAUACAUGCAAGUCGAACGCAGUGGGGACGGGUGAGUAACACGUGGGUAACCUCCCAUCAGAGGGGAUAACACUUGGAAACAGGUGCUAAACCGAUACUGAUGGAUGGACCCGCGGUGCAUUCGCUAGUUGGUGAGGUAACGGCUCACCAAGGCCACGAUGCAUCGCCGACCUGAGAGGGUGAUGUGCAAAACGGGGAGUGAGAAGCGGCCCAUACGCCUACGGGAGGCAGCAGUAGGGAAGCUGGGGCAAUGGACGAAAGUCUGACCGAGCAACGCCGCGUGAGUGAAGAAGGUUUUCGGAUCGUAAAACUCUGUUGUUAGAGAAGCGGUAUCUAACCAGAAAGCCACGGCUAACUACGUGCCAGCAGCCGCGGUAAUAC